Molecule: long non-coding RNA, 281 nt
Filed under: Glycine max (soybean)
Lineage: Eukaryota; Viridiplantae; Streptophyta; Magnoliopsida; Fabales; Fabaceae
Description: long non-coding RNA (GMAX_LNC001443)
Source: RNAcentral
AAUGAUCAUUGCCAUGAUACAAUAUUUUUCUUCGCCUACUUUCUAACAAUUUAAAAGUAAAUUUUACUUUAAUGCUUGUUGGUUAUUACUAUUAUUAGUAUUAUUAAACAGUAACAUAAUUCAUUCGGAUUUAGUAGAUUUUUAGAACAUAACUAAUAUAGGGUUUUUUUUUUUGUAAAAAAUUGCUUAAUGUAUAUAGCAAUUUUUAUUAGAAAUUAAUGGAAUUUUUUGGGCAGUAGUAUGUAAAACUAAUAAAAGAUUUUAUUUUCAUUUUCUAUGUA